This is an RNA transcript of Pongo pygmaeus (Bornean orangutan), 1116 nucleotides long. It is a transcript of the gene named UPF0764 protein C16orf89-like, with no coding region annotated. Lineage: Eukaryota; Metazoa; Chordata; Mammalia; Primates; Hominidae. The transcript is spliced from 7 exons. The record is from RefSeq and is a predicted model, not a curated record.
AGGGUCAUUAGAAAGCCACUACAGAUCUAGGCAUCUGAGCAGGAAUAAGAGAGGAAAGGCAACUCUAGCCACAUUAAUCACUUUUAUCCAGAAGAUAAAUGCUUUUUCCAAAUCUUUCAACAGGCUUUCAUUUUACAUUUGGCAUAUUUUUGUCAUAUAGCCUUCCCUAGCUGCAAGGGAGGCUUUUCAAACUUCUUUAUGGAAUUCAGCAAGAAAGUAAAGCGUAGGCAAUCCCAUGGCCUGCUGAGAUUUCAUUUAUUUGAUUUUGUUCUGUAUUCUCAUCAUUGCACAGAAGAUUGGAAAAAUGUCCUGCUGUAUUGUUUCAGUUCAUUUGGAAAUUGACCAAGUCUCAUUCUGUCACCCAGGCUGGAAUGCAGUGGCAGGAUGUUGUCUCAUUGCAACCCCUGCUUCCCAGAUUCAAGCGAUUCUCCUGUCUCAGCCCCUGGAGUAGCUGGGACUACAGAGCCUCCCUCUGUUGCCCAGGCUAGAGUGCAAUGGCUCAACCUCAGCUCACUGCUACCUCCCAGGUUCAAGUGAUUCUCCUGCCUCAGACUCCCGAGUAGUUGGGAUUACAGGCACCUCCCACCACACCCAGCUAAGCUGGCCAUGGGGCGGGGGUGAGGGACCAGACCUAGAGGACUUCAAAUUGGAUGGAGAUAGUGAAAGGAGUUUCAAAGCAGAGGUUGGAGUGAGAAAUGCAAGAAAGGAUAGUAAAUCCAAGAGAAGACUGAGGUUCAAAAAGUCAAAAAAGUGAAUGAAGUAGAUUAUCACUGUGACUGUUCUAGAAGACUGAAUACAGAGAUGUGUAGACUGAGAAAACUUACCCAGCAGUUGAAUCAAUGCUGAGAAGAAUUAAUAUAAGUCAUAGGCAAUCUCCUAGAGGUUUCAAAAGAGCAUAAGGGAUCAGAUGCAAAUGUUUUGUUGCCUCCGUUUUCCUGUCUAAAAGCCAUUGAGAUAUGCAAUUAGCUACAAGUGCAAUGAAAAAAAUCAGCCAAUCAUAUUUGCAAGAUUCUCACAAAAGUGUAAACAAGAAAUCUUAAAGGAAAGUCUUGUGUUUGAUUGAUAUCAAAACUACAAGGACCAACUUAACCAGAAUUAAAGAAGUAUAUUUGCAGC